This 463-nucleotide ribosomal RNA is filed under the name uncultured bacterium. Its description in RNAcentral is "partial 16S ribosomal RNA". It matches the Rfam family "Bacterial small subunit ribosomal RNA", at positions 28 to 507 of the family's 1533-position model. The record is from RNAcentral.
GAUGAACGCUGACAGAAUGCUUAACACAUGCAAGUCGAUGGGGAAGUGGUGCUUGCACCAUGGUAACCAUGGCGGACGGGUGAGUAACGCGUAAGGAACUUGCCUGCGGGACUGGGAUAACAGCAGGAAACUGCUGAUAAUACCGGAUAAGGUCAUUAAGCUGCAUAGCUUAGUGAUGAAAGGAGACGCCUGCGGAGAGCCUUGCGUCCUAUUAGCUAGUUGGAGGGGUAACGGCCCACCAAGGCGAAGAUAGGUAGCCGGCCUGAGAGGGUGGACGGCCACAAGGGGACUGAGAUACGGCCGUUACUCCUACGGGAGGCAGCAGUGGGGAAUAUUGGACAAUGGGGGCAACCCUGAUCCAGCUAUUCUGUGUGCACGAAGACGGUUUUCGGAUUGUAAAGUGCUUUCAGCAGGGAAGAAGGAAGUGACGGUACCUGCAGAGGAAGCGACGGCUAAAUACGUG